ACUCUGGAGCGAACGAAACACAUCUGGGAACUCGGACACCAACGGGUCCUCAGGAAGAUCAUUCAGAUCAACAUAAUUUGCCGCACUCCAUAGUGGUAAUUGUGGUCAAAAAUACUUCACAAUCCCGUCUAAGCAACCGAUCCACACGGACUGCUGACACCACUACUUUCCUUAAAGCCGGACUCAGACAUUGGAUCUCGAUACCAACGAGAUCCCAGACAGAUCAACAGAAUUGUCAUGCUCCAUAGUGGUAGUUGUGGUCAAACAACCCUGUCUAAGCAUCCGAUUUACUUGGACUGCUGACACCCCUACUUUUCUUAGAGCCGGACUCA
RNAcentral lists this long non-coding RNA (332 nucleotides) under Brassica napus (rape). Its description in RNAcentral is "long non-coding RNA (BNAP_LNC008371)". The record is from RNAcentral. Lineage: Eukaryota; Viridiplantae; Streptophyta; Magnoliopsida; Brassicales; Brassicaceae.